Molecule: microRNA precursor, 204 nt
Organism: Oryza sativa Indica Group (long-grained rice)
Lineage: Eukaryota; Viridiplantae; Streptophyta; Magnoliopsida; Poales; Poaceae
Rfam family: MIR812 microRNA precursor family
Source: Rfam
UAUAAGUGUAGUUGUUAGUUUCCGUGUCUAGCGUUUGACCUUCCGUCUUAUUUGAAAAAUAUUUAUGAUUAGAAUUUUAUUGUUACUACAUGAUAAAACAUGAAUCGUACUUAUGUGUGACUAUUUCUUUUAUUUUUUUAUAUUUUUAAAAAUAAAACGAACAGCCAAAUACUCCAUCCGUCCCAAAAUAUAGCUAUUUCUAGC